AUGUCGUCCUUCGCCGUCCCCAUUACCACCGGCCUAAACUACAACACCUCCGAGCCUCUCUCCCAGACGAACUAUGUUCUCUGGAGAGCUCAAGCACGAUCCCAGAUAAUGGGCGCCGGCUUGUAUGGCUAUAUAGAUCAAACCCUAGAGGAGCCUCCCAAAACCAUUACCAUCAAAGACAAAGAUGGCAAGGACCAGGUGAUUGCAAACCCUGCUUAUGCUCCCUGGUUGAUCCAGGAUCAACAGAUCGUCGCCUAUCUCCUCCGCAACCUGUCCAAAGGAGUUCUUGUCCAAGUUCCAUCGCUUGAAUCAUCACAUGCGGUUUGGGCUGCACUCGCGGCCAUGUUCUCUGCCGUCUCUUUAUCACGCGUCAACAACAUCCGAUAUGCGCUAACCAACGCAUAG
Molecule: ribosomal RNA, 405 nt
Filed under: Triticum aestivum (bread wheat)
Lineage: Eukaryota; Viridiplantae; Streptophyta; Magnoliopsida; Poales; Poaceae
Description: partial small subunit ribosomal RNA
Source: RNAcentral